UACGGAGGAUGCGAGCGUUAUCCGGAUUUAUUGGGUUUAAAGGGUGCGCAGGCGGCACGUUAAGUCAGCGGUGAAAUGUCGGGGCUCAACCCCGUCACUGCCGUUGAAACUGGCGAGCUCGAGUACGGAUGAAGUGGGCGGAAUGUGAUGUGUAGCGGUGAAAUGCUUAGAUAUGUCACAGAACACCGAUUGCGAAGGCAGCUCACUAAUCCGCAACUGACGCUCAUGCACGAAAGCGUGGGGAUCGAAC
RNAcentral lists this ribosomal RNA (250 nucleotides) under uncultured prokaryote. RNAcentral describes it as "partial 16S ribosomal RNA". It matches the Rfam family "Bacterial small subunit ribosomal RNA", at positions 524 to 773 of the family's 1533-position model. The record is from RNAcentral.